GCUGUAGUUCAGUGGUAGAACAUCUGCUUUGCAUGCAGAGGGUGCACGGUUCAAUAGGGCUGUGAAAUAACCCUGUAUUAAAACCU
This is a non-coding RNA of Podarcis lilfordi (Lilford's wall lizard), 86 nucleotides long. The record is from the annotation of a GenBank genome assembly. NCBI's taxonomy places the organism in Eukaryota, Metazoa, Chordata, Lepidosauria, Squamata, Lacertidae.